Molecule: ribosomal RNA, 253 nt
Filed under: uncultured archaeon
Lineage: Archaea
Description: partial 16S ribosomal RNA
Rfam family: Archaeal small subunit ribosomal RNA
Source: RNAcentral
CCCCGGCGCCACGAGUGGUCAUCACGUUUAUUGGGCCUAAAGCGUUCGUAGCCGGCUUGGUGCAUCUCUUGUGAAAUUGUUCGGCUUAACCGGACAGCGUGCAGGAGACACGGCCAAGCUCGAGACUGGGAGGCGCAAGAAGUAUGUCAUGGGGACUGGUAAAAUGGGAUAAUCCAUGAUAGACUACCGAUGGCGAAGGCAUCUUGCGAGAACAGAUCUGACGGUGAGGAACGAAAGCCAGGGGAGCGAACCG